GGGGGGACGCAGUAGGAUAGGCGAAGCGUGCGAUUGGAUUGCACGUCUAAGCAGUAAGGCUGAGUAUUAGGCAAAUCCGGUACUCGUUAAGGCUGAGCUGUGAUGGGGAGAAGACAUUGUGUCUUCGAGUCGUUGAUUUCACACUGCCGAGAAAAGCCUCUAGAUAGAAAAUAGGUGCCCGUACCGCAAACCGACACAGGUAGUCAAGAUGAGAAUUCUAAGGUGAGCGAGCGAACUCUCGUUAAGGAACUCGGCAAAAUGACCCCGUAACUUCGGGAGAAGGGGUGCUCUUUAGGGUUAACGCCCAGAAGAGCCGCAGUGAAUAGGCCCAAGCGACUGUUUAUCAAAAACACAGGUCUCUGCUAAACCGUAAGGUGAUGUAUAGGGGCUGACGCCUGCCCGGUGCUGGAAGGUUAAGAGGAGUGGUUAGCUUCUGCGAAGCUACGAAUCGAAGCCCCAGUAAACGGCGGCCGUAACUAUAACGGUCCUAAGGUAGCGAAAUUCCUUGUCGGGUAAGUUCCGACCCGCACGAAAGGCGUAACGAUUUGGGCACUGUCUCAACGAGAGACUCGGUGAAAUCAUAGUACCUGUGAAGAUGCAGGUUACCCGCGACAGGACGGAAAGACCCCGUGGAGCUUUACUGUAGCCUGAUAUUGAAAUUCGGCACAGCUUGUACAGGAUAGGUAGGAGCCUUUGAAACGUGAGCGCUAGCUUACGUGGAGGCGCUGGUGGGAUACUACCCUAGCUGUGUUGGCUUUCUAACCCGCACCACUUAUCGUGGUGGGAGACAGUGUCAGGCGGGCAGUUUGACUGGGGCGGUCGCCUCCUAAAAGGUAACGGAGGCGCUCAAAGGUUCCCUCAGAAUGGUUGGAAAUCAUUCAUAGAGUGUAAAGGCAUAAGGGAGCUUGACUGCGAGACCUACAAGUCGAGCAGGGUCGAAAGACGGACUUAGUGAUCCGGUGGUUCCGCAUGGAAGGGCCAUCGCUCAACGGAUAAAAGCUACCCCGGGGAUAACAGGCUUAUCUCCCCCAAGAGUUCACAUCGACGGGGAGGUUUGGCACCUCGAUGUCGGCUCAUCGCAUCCUGGGGCUGUAGUCGGUCCCAAGGGUUGGGCUGUUCGCCCAUUAAAGCGGUACGCGAGCUGGGUUCAGAACGUCGUGAGACAGUUCGGUCCCUAUCCGUCGUGGGCGUAGGAAAUUUGAGAGGAGCUGUCCUUAGUACGAGAGGACCGGGAUGGACAUACCUCUGGUGUACCAGUUGUCGUGCCAACGGCAUAGCUGGGUAGCUAUGUGUGGACGGGAUAAGUGCUGAAAGCAUCUAAGCAUGAAGCCCCCC
RNAcentral lists this ribosomal RNA (1335 nucleotides) under Staphylococcus aureus. RNAcentral's name for it is "partial 23S ribosomal RNA". It matches the Rfam family "Bacterial large subunit ribosomal RNA", at positions 1466 to 2798 of the family's 2925-position model. The record is from RNAcentral. RNAcentral also lists the same sequence under 1 other name. Lineage: Bacteria; Bacillati; Bacillota; Bacilli; Caryophanales; Staphylococcaceae.